GGCUUCUUCUUUCUCUUCAAAUUGCAUAAAUCUUUUGCCUUUUACUAAAGAUUUCCAUGGAGAGGAACAGUUAUGAGUCUUAACCCGAUUAAAAAAAAAGAUUCUCUUGUAUCUU
Alligator mississippiensis (American alligator) is the source of this 115-nucleotide small nuclear RNA. It matches the Rfam family "U5 spliceosomal RNA". Rfam says of the family: U5 RNA is a component of both types of known spliceosome. The precise function of this molecule is unknown, though it is known that the 5' loop is required for splice site selection and p220 binding, and that both the 3' stem-loop and the Sm site are important for Sm protein binding and cap methylation. Lineage: Eukaryota; Metazoa; Chordata; Crocodylia; Alligatoridae. The record is from Rfam.